GAUCAAGUGAAUAAGGGCGUACGGUGGAUGCCUUGGCACAGACAGGCGAUGAAGGACGUGGUAAGCUGCGAUAAGCCUCGGGGAGCGGCACACACGCGUUGAUCCGGGGAUUUCCGAAUGGGGCAACCCAGUGGGAGUCAUGUCCCACUAUCCCGAAAGGGAGGCGAACCCGGGGAACUGAAACAUCUAAGUACCCGGAGGAAAAGACAACAACCGUGAUUCUCCUAGUAGCGGCGAGCGAACGGGGAAGAGCCUAAACCCAUGUCAUGUUCAAGCGUGAGGGCGUUGUGGCGUGGGGGUCGUGGGACCGGCGGUGGCUGCCUCAUCAGCCACACGAAGUUACCAAGAAGUCGGAUAGUCGAAGCGUCUGGAAAGGCGCGCCAGAGAGGGUGACAGGCCCGUAGGCGAAAUCCGCGCUUCCUUCGGUCGGUAUCCCAAGUACCACGGGGCACGAGAAACCUUGUGGGAAUCCGGCGGGACCACCCGCCAAGGCUAAAUACUCGUCUGUGACCGAUAGUGAACCAGUACCGUGAGGGAAAGGUGAAAAGCACCCCGGGAGGGGAGUGAAAGAGACCCUGAAACCGUGCGCUUACAAGCUGUGGGAGCCCCGCACCUAAAUCCCUUCUGCGCGGGCGGAAGGACAGGCACUUGAGAAGCAAGUGCGCCGGAGGGAUUUAGGUGCGGGGUGACCGCGUGCCUUUUGCAUAAUGAGCCAGCGAGUUACUCGUCCCAUGCAGGUUAAGGUGUUCAGCACCGGAGCCAGAGCGAAAGCGAGUCUGAAUAGGGCGCAGGUAUGGGGCGGUAGACGCGAACCCAGGUGAUCUACCCAUGGUCAGGUUGAAGGUUCUGUAAAAGGAACUGGAGGACCGAACCAGGACACGUUGAAAAGUGUUUGGAUGAACUGUGGGUAGGGGUGAAAGGCUAAUCAAACCUGGAGAUAGCUCGUACUCCCCGAAAUAGCUUUAGGGCUAGCCUCGGGUGAUGACUGACGGAGGUAGAGCACUGGCAGAACUAGGGCCCUCACCAGGGUACCAAACUCUGAUAAACUCCGAAUGCCGUUAUGUUUAACCCGGGAGUCAGGUCGCGUGAGAUAAGUUUCGCGGCCGAGAGGGAAAGAACCCAGACCGACAGCUAAGGCCCCUAAGUGUGGCUUAAGUGACAAAGGAUGUGUCGUUGCUCAGACAACCAGGAGGUUAGCUUAGAAGCAGCUAUCCUUUAAAGAGUGCGUAAUAGCUCACUGGUCGAGCGAUGUCGCGCCGAUAAUUUCCGGGACUCAAGGCCACCGCCGACGCUCCGGGAUCCGCAAGGAUCGGUAGGGGAGCAUUCCGUUAACCGGUGAAGGUGGGAAGCGAUUCCUGCUGGAGGAGACGGAAAAGAUCAUGCUGGCAUAAGUAACGAUAAGGAAGGUGAGAAACCUUCCCACCGAAAGUCUAAGGUUUCCUCCGUAAAGGUAAUCUGCGGGGGGUUAGUCGGCCCCUAAGCCGAGGCCGAAAGGCGUAGGCGAUGGGAAACAGGCGAAUAUUCCUGUACCCGUGUUGGACCGUUUGAGCGAUGGGGGGACGCAGACGCGUAAGGACAGCCGGACACUGGCUUGCCGGUCUAAGCGUGUGGGAGUGUGAUAGGCAAAUCCGUCACAAAUACUCCGAGGCGCGAAUGGGAGAGCCGCAAGGCUCGCAACUGUCCCCAAGCACGCUGCCAAGAAAAGCCUCUAAGCGAGGGACGACGCGGACCGUACCGCAAACCGACUCAGGUAGAUGGGGUGAGAAUCCUCAGGUGAUCGAUAGAACCGUGGUUAAGGAACUCGGCAAAUUAGCUCCGUAACUUCGGGAUAAGGAGUGCCUCCUUGGGAGACGGACUUCGCGUCCAGAUUUCGAGGGGGCCGCAGUGACCAGGCCCAGGCGACUGUUUACCAAAAACACAGCACUCUGCGAAGUCGUAAGACGCGGUAUAGGGUGUGACACCUGCCCGGUGCUGGAAGGUUAAGGGGAGAGGUCAACCCCGCACCUAAAUCACUUCGAAAGACCGCCAUGCAUUUUGUCUAUGUGUUGCAAAGCACGUGUGUCGAACCCAGCUGGUACAUCGGAUCCACCCGGGAUCUGGAAGCCCGCUUGGUGGCGCACAAUGCCGGCCUCACGGCCUCGACACAUGGGAAGACAUGGCGCAUUGUCUACUACGAAGCCUAUCUGUCAAAAUCGGCGGCGCUGCUUCGGGAGCGGCGGCUGAAACAGGAUGGACGAAGUAGACGGCUUUUGAUGGAACGAAUUCGUUCCAGCUUGGAGUGAUUUAGGUGCGGGGGGUAGCUUUGAACCGAAGCCCCAGUAAACGGCGGCCGUAACUAUAACGGUCCUAAGGUAGCGAAAUUCCUUGUCGGGUAAGUUCCGACCUGCACGAAUGGUGUAACGAUCUGGGCGCUGUCUCGACCACGGAAUCGGUGAAAUUGCAAUGUCGGUGAAGAUGCCGGCUACCCGCGACAGGACGGAAAGACCCCGUGGACCUUUACUAUACCCUGACAUUGGGUUCUAUCUUAGCAUGUGUAGGAUAGGUGGGAGACGUUGAGGCGGCCACGCCAGUGGUCGCGGAGUCACCCUUGAAAUACCACCCUUGCCCUGGUGGAAUUCUAACCGCGAUGCGUGAAUCCGCAUCCGGGACAGUGUCAGGCGGGUAGUUUGACUGGGGCGGUCGCCUCCCACAUGGUACCGGAGGCUCGCAAAGGUUCCCUCAGCACGGUCGGCAAUCGUGCGAAGAGUGUAAAGGCAUAAGGGAGCUUGACUGCAAGACCAACACGUCGCGCAGAUGCGAAAGCAGGCCUUAGUGAUCCGGCGGUAGAGUGUGGAAUUGCCGUCGCUCAAAGGAUAAAAGGUACCCCGGGGAUAACAGGCUUAUCUCCCCCAAGAGUUCACAUCGACGGGGAGGUUUGGCACCUCGAUGUCGGCUCGUCACAUCCUGGGGCUGUAGAAGGUCCCAAGGGUUUGGCUGUUCGCCAAUUAAAGUGGCACGUGAGCUGGGUUCAGAACGUCGUGAGACAGUUCGGUCCCUAUCCGUCGUGGGCGUAUGAGAGUUGAGAGGAGCUGCAUCAAGUACGAGAGGACCGGUGUGGACGAACCUCUGGUGUACCAGUUGUCGCGCCAGCGGCACGGCUGGGUAGCUAUGUUCGGAUCGGAUAAGCGCUGAAAGCAUCUAAGUGCGAAACCGACCUCAAGAUUAACUCUCACUCAGGCCCGUCCGAGACUAGGACGUUGAUAGGCGACAGGUGUACGCACGGUAACGUGUUCAGCCAAGUCGUACUAAUCGGCCGUGUGACUUGAUCUU
This 3309-nucleotide ribosomal RNA is filed under the name bacterium. RNAcentral's name for it is "23S ribosomal RNA". It matches the Rfam family "Bacterial large subunit ribosomal RNA". The record is from RNAcentral.